Molecule: long non-coding RNA, 830 nt
Organism: Daphnia pulex (common water flea)
Lineage: Eukaryota; Metazoa; Arthropoda; Branchiopoda; Diplostraca; Daphniidae
Exons: 2
Source: RefSeq, a predicted model, not a curated record
CUCUCUCUCCGGUUACCAAGUUGAAAUAGCUGAGGACCUGACCAAUUUUGAAUUGAAGCAAAAGGUGCUGGAUGUCUCACGUGGAGUUGACUGGACGAGAUACAACGGCCGCUGACACUUUGCUUUUUAUUUUUAUCCCACUGCAUUCACGGCCAAAUUUUAGGCAGCAAUUCAUCGACCAUAUCAUUCAAUAAAGACGUUCGAAAAUAUUUUAAUGAAUGCUACUGUCCUGGCUUGAAAGGAAAAUCUAAAGCGAUAUUUGUCUCAACUCCAUUCGGCUCCGCUGGAUGGAAUCCGGUUUCGCAGUUAGAUUGUGUAGGAGGAUACAACCCACAUUUAUACGACAAUUUCCUUGUUAUUUGGCCAACGUCUUACGUUCUGUCUGUUUCAAAUGGUGGAUCACAAUUUAUUACGGAAUUCAGUACGGAACUGAAGAAAUCGAAUGCAGCAAACGACACAACUCUUGCGUCUUUCAGGACUGCGGACUGCCAUUAGUACCAUAAAUAAUCGCAACAACCUUACUCGAUACCGAAAACGUCAGUUUUGGUCGAUUCAGCAAUGGAAUGUUUAAAUUUCGCAUCAAUUUGUUCAAAACCAAAUAACGAGUCAAGUCAUGACAAAAUAACGGAUUACACGACGAUUUUAUUGACUGUACUUUUGCUUUUACGAGCUAGUCGUACAUGCCCGCAAGACAUAGGAGCACAUAAACAAUACAGAAGACGAUAGUGCCCUUUUGUCGGUGUUCUUCACAAGUCGUGGAAUUUUGUAUACCAAAACAAAAGUAUGGACGAAGCGCGAGUCACGUACAAUACGAAAAUUAAAAUUUGCCA